Molecule: ribosomal RNA, 378 nt
Filed under: uncultured eukaryote
Lineage: Eukaryota
Description: partial 18S ribosomal RNA
Rfam family: Eukaryotic small subunit ribosomal RNA
Source: RNAcentral
CAAUAGCGUAUAUUUAAGUUGUUGCAGUUAAAAAGCUCGUAGUUGGAUUUCGGGUGGGACGCAGCGGUCUCGCAUUGCGUUUGUACUGCUGCAGCCCUCCUUCUUGCCGGGGGCGGCCUCUCGGACUUCACUGUCUGGGGGUCAGAAUCGGCGAUGUUACUUUGAGUAAAUUAGAGUGUUCAAAGCAAGCUUACGCUCUGAAUAUAAUAGCAUGGGAUAACACGACAGGACUCUGGCCUAUCGUGUUGGUCUAUAGGACCAGAGUAAUGAUUAAGAGGGACAGUCGGGGGCAUUCGUAUUCCGUUGUCAGAGGUGAAAUUCUUGGAUUUACGGAAGACGAACAUCUGCGAAAGCAUUUGCCAAGGAUUUUUUCAUUGA